Molecule: ribosomal RNA, 347 nt
Filed under: uncultured bacterium
Lineage: Bacteria
Description: bacterial SSU rRNA
Rfam family: Bacterial small subunit ribosomal RNA
Source: RNAcentral
GGCCCGCACAAGCGGUGGAGUAUGUGGUUUAAUUCGACGCAACGCGCAGAACCUUACCCAGUCUUGACAUCCCUGGACCACUAUGGAGACAUAGCUUUUCAACCUAACGGAAGAAUCAGGUGACAGGUGCUGCAUGGCUGUCGUCAGCUCGUGUCGUGAGAUGUUCGUUAAGUCCGGUAACGAGCGCAACCCCUAUCCUUAGUUGCCAAUUAUGGAACUCUAAGGAGACUCCCGGUGUUAAACCGGCGGAAGAUGGGGAUGACGUCAAGUCCUCAUGGCCCUUAUCGGCUGGGGCUACACACGUACUACAAUGGCUAGGACAGACGGCCGCAACCGCGAGGGGAGCC